Molecule: ribosomal RNA, 305 nt
Filed under: uncultured bacterium
Lineage: Bacteria
Description: partial 16S ribosomal RNA
Rfam family: Bacterial small subunit ribosomal RNA
Source: RNAcentral
ACAGCAGUCGCCACGGUAAUACGAAGGGGGCUAGCGUUGUCCGGAAUCAUUGGGCGUAAAGCGCGCGUAGGUGGCCAUUUAAGUCCGCUGUGAAAGUCAAAGGCUCAACCUUUGAAAGCCGGUGGAUACUGGAUGGCUAGAGUACGGAAGAGGCGAGUGGAAUUCCUGGUGUAGCGGUGGAAUGCGCAGAUAUCAGGAGGAACACCAAUAGCGAAGGCAGCUCGCUGGGACGUUACUGACACUGAGGCGCGAAAGUGUGGGGAGCGAGCAGGAUUAGAUACCCGCGUAGUCCCUGUCUCUUAUAC